Molecule: ribosomal RNA, 253 nt
Filed under: uncultured bacterium
Lineage: Bacteria
Description: partial 16S ribosomal RNA
Rfam family: Bacterial small subunit ribosomal RNA
Source: RNAcentral
UACGUAGGGUGCGAGCGUUGUCCGGAAUUAUUGGGCGUAAAGAGCUCGUAGGCGGUUUGUCGCGUCUGCUGUGAAAACGCGGGGCUCAACUCCGCGCCUGCAGUGGGUACGGGCAGACUAGAGUGCAGUAGGGGAGACUGGAAUUCCUGGUGUAGCGGUGGAAUGCGCAGAUAUCAGGAGGAACACCAGUGGCGAAGGCGGCUCACUGGUCCAUAACUGACGCUGAGGUGCGAAAGCGUGGGGAGCAAACAGG